Molecule: non-coding RNA, 98 nt
Filed under: Eubacterium sp.
Lineage: Bacteria; Bacillati; Bacillota; Clostridia; Eubacteriales; Eubacteriaceae
Also listed under: 1 other name
Description: SAM-I sequence
Rfam family: SAM riboswitch aptamer (S box leader)
About the family: The SAM riboswitch is found upstream of a number of genes which code for proteins involved in methionine or cysteine biosynthesis in Gram-positive bacteria. The SAM riboswitch acts at the level of transcription termination control. The predicted structure consists of a complex stem-loop region followed by a single stem loop terminator region.
Source: RNAcentral
UUUUUAUCAAGAGUUGGGGUAGAGAGUUAGCUCGAUAAUCCCACACCAACCUGUAUGGGGUAAAUCAUAUAAGGUGGUACAGCUAACAGCGAUAAGAG